Molecule: long non-coding RNA, 2469 nt
Filed under: Mytilus galloprovincialis (Mediterranean mussel)
Lineage: Eukaryota; Metazoa; Mollusca; Bivalvia; Mytilida; Mytilidae
Source: RNAcentral
GGUUUGUAUAUUGAACUUUUUUUUAGAGAUCUGUACAUUGUUUUAAGAAGGUGCUAAAUUGAUGAUAUUAUUGCUAUACUGAUUAUUAUUUUAAUCUUAUACAGAACAGAUAUACAUUUGUAAAUAAAUAUUUUUGUUGAUGCGCAUUGUAUUGUAGUCAAAGUAAAACAGCGUAAGUGCCUUUUAACUUUUACAAAUUCUUAAUUUAUAGUCAGAAGCCAGAUAACAUUACAAUUGAUAAGAAAAGAGUUGUAUGUUCUGAAGGUCCUUCAAUAAUGCUUAUUUUACUUUAUAAGUUCUCCAGUUUCUUACUUUAUUUCAAAAGCUACCCUUUUAUUGCUGACUUUCAAAUUCUUGGGUUUCAGCAUUUCCCAAUGCAGGCUAAUCUAGAAAAGUGCUUUGUACCUACCAAAUUUAGAAAGUUGCUUUCAUCAUUUAUUGUAUACAUAAUACAACACACACAUAGACUUACAUACUUUAUGUAUGCAUACUAGUCAGUUUCUCUUCAUUAGCAUAGAUGCAAUAUUGGUUGAGUUUUUUUGCUGUGAGUACCACUCAAGUUUAUUUUUGCCAAACAUUUACAUAGUACAUGUAUUUAUUUUACUAUUUAGUCAUUAUUGUAUUUUGUUUGUGUAUAUUAUUUCAGCACCAGUGCAAUAACAUCUUUGUGAGAUUUUGAUGUGUAAUUUGCCUGUAAUAUUUGGUUGUUUUACUUUUGACAAAAAAUAUAUACAUUUUUUUUGUAAGAAUUAAAAUGUGGACCCUUUAUAAAUUUAAUAUAUACUAAGUCAAAUAUAAUAAAACAUGAUCUGUUAUAGAAAUGAUUAUGUGUCACACAUUCCAAUGAGAAGGUAUAAUGGCCCACCAUUUUAUAUUUGAUAAUCAAAAGUCUGGGUUAUUUUUGGUUUGUAAUUUUGUAGUAAAAAUUUUGUACUCUUUUAAAAUAUGUUGAUAGGAAAGAAGAAAAAAAGAAAAGAUUUGUAGUAAAAAUUUAUACUAGACAAUAUCCACCUUUUCAGAAUUUAGUGCAUUUUGGUUAAUUAUUCAAAAGUGACACCAAAACGUCAUUGGUUCAAAACACCUUUAACCAAAGAAUUUCAACCAAUGACAUAACAUGAUUUCCAUUUUGGUGUACUUACAAUGAAAUUACCCAUAGCCGAUUGUCUGUGUCAUUUUGGUCUUUUGUGGAUAGUUGUCUCAUUGGCAAUCAAACCACAUCUUCUUUUUUAUAUAGUUUCUGAAAAGGUGAAUUGUCAUUGGCGUAUACCCUACAUCUCUUUUUAUGCAUCUCUGAAGAUGACCAGCUGGUGGUUGUCAUUAAAAACAAAAUCAAUUUUUAUUCAAUAGCAAUUUUAAAUGAUAAUUGAUUGCUGUCUGUAAAAUUUUUCAGUUGUUAUUAAUUAUUUUUGGAUUUUCUUAUUCAUCAAAUUUAUAAUUGUUUGGAUAAAUAACUAAAUUAACACUCAUAGUCUGAUCCAUUUAAAUGAAUUAUGUAUUUUCUCCACAUUCCUUUAAUUAUGAUAGAAAAGUAUGAUUUUCCCAUCUGGUUGUACAGAAGUUUACUGGUUUUUACAAAUAGUUUUAUAAUGAUCAAGGUUGAAAUGUUUUAUAAUAUAUCAAAUAUGGUUGAAUUUAUUAAAAUUGAUUUUAUAGCAAGCACUCUGUAUGAAUUGAAGCAUUUAUUUUGUGCAUUCUUAGUAUUUGGAUAAAAUGUAUACAAUUUCUAUUAUGGUGAGUAUUUAUAAUGUAAGUAUCUUAUGAAAAUUGACCAUUUUUUAUCAAAGAUCUGAUUUAGGAACAAAAAAUAGCUUUUACUUUAAAAGCACUAUAAUCCUUAGUGGAAACGUCGUCUAAAAACAAGGUGUUAAACUUUACACUUGUUGAGAAUCAGUGUCAAUGAUAUGAGAUACAUGAUACAAUUUGACCCAAAAAAUUAUAGAUUUUUAGAAUUGUAGGUAUAAUAUUGAGAGUGUCUGGACUUGAGAUUGAAAGUUGAAUGCUGUAAACAGUAUUGUUUGAGGGCAUUGUUUUAUUUAUUUUUGUGUCUUAUACACAUGUUUACUGUUUUUACAAAUAUAUUUAUUUUAGUAUGCAUUUAGAAUUGUAUUUGUUUUGUAAUCACCACAACUGAUCAAAUUCAUUUAUCAGACAUAUAUAUUUGUAUUUAUACAUAUAUAUGUUAUAAUCUUGUAAUUAUACAAAAUUUUGUUUGAAACAUGAAAUGGCAUUUAAUUUCAACAUAUAAUUUAACUUUCGUGAAUAUAAGCUUGCCACAGUUAGAUAUAAAAUUCCUAUUUUAAAAAUUGUAAUAAAGCAAAGAAAGGAAAUAUUUUGUAGGUUGUAGACUUUAACCAUUUCAGCUUUGGAAGAUAAUGAUCAUUAAAAGUCCUGUUUAUUUUAAUUAAUUUAGUACUAAACAGUUAUCUCUUCAUAAUACUAUGUCUUUGUUGAAAUGUGACUAUAUUUCAG